RNAcentral lists this ribosomal RNA (439 nucleotides) under uncultured bacterium. RNAcentral describes it as "bacterial SSU rRNA". It matches the Rfam family "Bacterial small subunit ribosomal RNA", at positions 30 to 471 of the family's 1533-position model. The record is from RNAcentral.
AUUGAACGCUGGCGGCAGGCCUAACACAUGCAAGUCGAGCGGUAGAGAGGUGCUUGCAUCUCUUGAGAGCGGCGGACGGGUGAGUAAUGCCUAGGAAUCUGCCUAGUGGUGGGGGAUAACGUUCGGAAACGGACGCUAAUACCGCAUACGUCCUACGGGAGAAAGCGGGGGAUCUUCGGACCUCGCGCCAUUAGAUGAGCCUAGGUCGGAUUAGCUAGUUGGUGAGGUAAUGGCUCACCAAGGCGACGAUCCGUAACUGGUCUGAGAGGAUGAUCAGUCACACUGGAACUGAGACACGGUCCAGACUCCUACGGGAGGCAGCAGUGGGAAUAUUGGACAAUGGCGAAAGCCUGAUCCAGCCAUGCCGCGUGUGUGAAGAAGGUCUUCGGAUUGUAAAGCACUUUAAGUUAGGGAGGAAGGGCAGUAAGUUAAUACCUUG